This is a non-coding RNA of Nothobranchius furzeri (turquoise killifish), 245 nucleotides long. The record is from RefSeq and is a predicted model, not a curated record. Lineage: Eukaryota; Metazoa; Chordata; Actinopteri; Cyprinodontiformes; Nothobranchiidae.
AGGUUAGAGGGACCUCAGACUUUACGUUUCGUCAUUUUGUUGUUUUAGAAAAUCAGAGGUAGCUUGCGUUGUUCCAGAUGUGACCUGUGUUGUGUCUAGUGAUGUGCCCGACAGUGAGGUGGUUGCUGCAGCAGAUCAGAUGGAGUCAGAAAUGACACAGAGGAAAAUCUGUCCUCCUGCUAAAUGGAUUCCAGCGCUGCCUGUGGAAGAUCAGCAGUGGAUUUCCAAAGAGCUCUUCAAAUGGU